AUGUCCCUUUGGAGACGGGAUCGCGCUCCCGGAGCCUUCAGCCUACCGCGGCCCCCGCUGCGGAGCAGGGACCGGCCCGGCGGGCCCGGGGCUGGCACCAGGGUCUCGCCUGCCAAGGCUGGUUUCAAAACUGACGCCGGACCCCGUGCCCACUCCCGGAGCCCACCCAAGGGGAAGGCGAGGGAAAGAAAGCGGAGCGCCGCGCGCUGUUGCCAUGGCCACAGGAGACUUUUGAUGUGAAGCGCGGGGACCCCCCGCCCCUCUCCUUCAGGAUGACGUCACGCGCGUCCGCGCCCGGGCCGGGCGGCCGUGGGUCGGUCUGGGCUUUAAAGCGGCCGUUCUCCCCUGCUGCCCGCAGCCGCAGCGAGAGUCCGCACAGGCCGGACGGCGCUCGGACUCCGGCCCUGCUUCCCGCCUGGCGGCGCAGCCACGCCUCGGGACAGGACAGACCUUCCGAGAGAGAAAGAAGUGGAGAGCAGCGGUCUUCCUCCCGGCCAUGGCGACGCGUGCCAGGCAGCAAGACCUGUUGCUGCAGAAAAGCGGCCCGGCUGGGUGUUUCAGGCCUCUCCCCGCCCUCCCUGCCCCGGCCGGCGGCAAUCUUCCAUCAGAGAGGGAGGCGCGUCCCGAGGUCUGAGCGCAGAAGUCCUGGGUCUCUGCCUGAAGACACGCAGAGAGCCCAGCGCUGA
RNAcentral lists this long non-coding RNA (686 nucleotides) under Dasypus novemcinctus (nine-banded armadillo). RNAcentral's name for it is "lncRNA (ENSDNOG00000050210.1)". The record is from RNAcentral. Lineage: Eukaryota; Metazoa; Chordata; Mammalia; Cingulata; Dasypodidae.